Molecule: transfer RNA, 76 nt
Filed under: Roseibium sp. RKSG952
Lineage: Bacteria; Pseudomonadati; Pseudomonadota; Alphaproteobacteria; Hyphomicrobiales; Stappiaceae
Description: tRNA-His
Rfam family: tRNA
About the family: Transfer RNA (tRNA) molecules are approximately 80 nucleotides in length. Their secondary structure includes four short double-helical elements and three loops (D, anti-codon, and T loops).
Source: RNAcentral
UCUGGGAUAGCUCAAUUGGUUAGAGCGUCGGGCUGUGGACUCGAAUACGGGGGUUCGAAACCCUCUCCCAGGACCA